UACGUAGGGGGCGAGCGUUGUCCGGAUUUAUUGGGCGUAAAACGCUUGUAGGCGGCCACGCUGCGUCGUGCGUGAAAUCUCCCGGCUUAACUGGGAGGGGUCGUGCGAUACGAGCGGGCUCGAGGCAGGUAGGGGGAAGCGGAACUCCAGGUGUAGCGGUGAAAUGCGUAGAUAUCUGGAGGAACACCGGUGGCGAAGGCGGCAUCCUGGACCGGCAUUGACGCUGAGGCGCGAAAGCUAGGGGAGCAACGGG
This 253-nucleotide ribosomal RNA is filed under the name uncultured bacterium. RNAcentral describes it as "partial 16S ribosomal RNA". It matches the Rfam family "Bacterial small subunit ribosomal RNA", at positions 524 to 775 of the family's 1533-position model. The record is from RNAcentral.